Molecule: ribosomal RNA, 418 nt
Filed under: uncultured bacterium
Lineage: Bacteria
Description: partial 16S ribosomal RNA
Rfam family: Bacterial small subunit ribosomal RNA
Source: RNAcentral
AAGAUUUCACAAUGGGCGCAAGCCUGAUGCAGCCACGCCGCGCGGGGGAUGACGGCCUUCGGGUUGUAAACCUCUUUCAGUAUGUGCGAAGCUUGCGGGUUUUCUCGCAGGCGACGGUAGGUACCGGAGAAGCACCGGCCAACCACGUGCCGGCACCCGCGGUAAUACGAAGGGUGCGAGCGUUGUCCGGAAUUACUGGGCGUAAAGUGCUAGUAGGUGGUUUGUCGCGUUGUCCGUGAAAACUCACAGCUCAACUGUGGGCGUGCGGGCGAUACGGGCAGACUGGAGUACUGUAGGGGAGACUGGAAUUCCUGGUGUAGCGGUGGAAUGCGCAGAUAUCAGGAGGAACACCGGUGGCGAAGGCGGGUCUCUGGGCAGUAACUGACGCUGAGGAGCGAAAGCGUGGGGAGCGAACAGG